UAUUUAAUUAGAAGGGAUAAUUUCAUACAGCUUUAUGUAAACAUAUCGAAUAGUUGAUAUAUCCCUAUAAAAUUUAUGUUUGCAGAUUUAUCCCUUCAAAAGUUCAGUGAUGCUCAUAUUUGUUUCUCUUAUUUGUUAUCGUUAACUAAUUAUUUAUUUUUUAAAAUAAGAUAAGUAAAAUAUCAUUUUUGCCAUUAAAAAUAUAUCCUUCCAAAGGUCUCAGAAUCAUGCAAAAAUGUCCUUCCAAAAAAAUUCCCAAUAGUCAUUUUUUUCCUUUAUAAAAACUUACCCAAUCUACCAUGUUACAAACUCUUCAAUCUCUAACACUUCUCUCACUUCUUUUCUUUUUUACAUAUCAAUUAUUAAUUCUCUGACGUUCGACAUGGUGAAGCAACAAUGUAGUAGAUGAAAGAGAAUUAGAAAACCAUAGUUAUGGAUUUGAAACUAGCAUGAAGGAGAGAGAGAGAAAGAGGAAGAAGAAUUUUCAUUACUAGGAUUUUGAUCGAACUACGGUUUUAAUUGAGAGAAAAAGGUUUAAUAUCAGAAGUGUAAAAAGAUCAAUUUACCUCCCUCACUAUCCAAGGUUAAGUAUUUUUUCUAUUGUUAACUAUAUUUUUCUAAAGGACACUAACAGUAAGAGUAUAUUUAGUACCUUCAGAAUUUUUGGAGGAAUAAAUUUGAAACUUAUGUUUAGGCCUUGUUUGGAUGCAUGAUUUUGUUCGGUAUUUUUUUUUUAUUAACUUAAGAAGAAUAUAGUUUUUGGUAGAUGAAAAGUGUGAUUAAAUAUAUAUAUCAGAUAUCAAAUUCAGUUUUCAAUUUUUUUUUUUUUGCAAAUAAGAUAAAUCAUAUCAGAUGUGAAAUAUGUUAUCCUUAAUCUCCUGCCUUCAAUUACACAAUAAAAUUUUCAUGUCAAAUAAGGACCGUAUGGCUAGUUAAUUAAUUGUUCUCAAAUUAAGAGAGGUGAGAGGUGAGAGAGAGUUAGUGAGUUGAUUGCAUCUAGUGUAUAGUGUAUAGGUGCAUAUGAAGGGUUGUCUUUUAGGUUUAUAAAAGACGAGAGAAGGGUAGAAAAGAUUCAGAAAAAGGACUUGGGUUGUAGCUACUUUAUUGCAUAAGAGNCUCGUUUACUAAUCACCCUGCGGUUCAAAAAAUUUUCACUUUGGCUCUAAGGUUUUAAAUUUUAUUUUACCAAAACAUUCUACAUAAAAUAGGCUUAUAAAGUAAAAAAGAUCACAAGGUUGCAAAGUGAAAACUACACUAAAUCACGUGAGGGCAAAGUGCAACUUUUUAAAUUACAAGAUGACAAUUUAAAAUAACAUAAACCAAUGGAAGGGCAAAGUAAGAUUUUUUGUACGACGGAGUGGUAAAAAAAAUAAUAAUAAACCUAUGGGAGAGACAAUUUGAAGUUUAUUCUAAAUUUAAAGUUUUAAGAUACUGACAUAAUUGCACUCAAUCAUCAGUAAUUAAGGACGAAGUCUACUAUGUAAUACUUACACUUUAUCAUCAAUAAUCAACCAAUUAUAACUUUUUUUUAGAGAAAAAUAUAACGAAAAUAUUUUUCUAAUAAUAUGGCUAGAUGGAUGAAUCUAAAAAAGACAAUAUGAUUAGUGAAAAUUCUAUAUCAGUAAUAUAACCAUUGCAUUCUAAACUUUUUCCGCAAUAU
This 1660-nucleotide long non-coding RNA is filed under the name Ananas comosus (pineapple). Its description in RNAcentral is "long non-coding RNA (ACOM_LNC040955)". The record is from RNAcentral. Lineage: Eukaryota; Viridiplantae; Streptophyta; Magnoliopsida; Poales; Bromeliaceae.